Molecule: ribosomal RNA, 250 nt
Filed under: uncultured bacterium
Lineage: Bacteria
Description: partial 16S ribosomal RNA
Rfam family: Bacterial small subunit ribosomal RNA
Source: RNAcentral
AUACGGAGGAUCCGAGCGUUAUCCGGACCCUUUACUGGGUUUAAAGGGUGCGUAGGCUGUUCGCUAAGUCAGCGGUGAAAUGGCGCGGCUCAACCGUGCAGCUGCCGUUGAAACUGGCGGGCUUGAGUGGGUUCGAGGCAGGCGGAAUGCGCGGUGUAGCGGUGAAAUGCAUAGAUAUCGCGCAGAACGCCAAUAGCGUAGGCAGCUUGCCAGGCCCCAACUGACGCUGAGGCACGAAAGCGUGGGGAUC